Molecule: small RNA, 124 nt
Filed under: Marmota monax (woodchuck)
Lineage: Eukaryota; Metazoa; Chordata; Mammalia; Rodentia; Sciuridae
Source: RNAcentral
GCUGGGCGUAGUGGCACACACCUGUAAUCCCAGCAGCUCAGGAGGUUGAGGCAGGAGGAUCAUGAAUUCAAACCAGCCUCAGCAAAAGCAAGGCCCUAGGCAACUCAGUGAGACCCUGUCUCUA